AACACUACAAGACUUUUUCUUGCUAAUGAAAUCCUUUCAUUAAUCGAUAACCACUAAAUGCAAUCUGUACUGUCUCAAAAGUCCACACAAAACACAUAAAUUCUAUCCAACACUAGGAAUAACCAAUCUUACUCAAUUAAUCUGGCUUUAUACAAUUUCUAUUUUCCCAGAUUUCCUCGGUCCGAACACACACAGUUUUCAAUUAACCACGAUCAUAAUCUUCCAGUUAUAACCAAUCUUCACAGAAUCUGAUAACAACUUUCAAAUUUCUCUCCUUCAAUCACACAAUACUUCAGUUACACACUCAAUAUCUCAUAAAUCAUUU
This 325-nucleotide long non-coding RNA is filed under the name Physcomitrium patens. RNAcentral's name for it is "long non-coding RNA (PPAT_LNC010994)". The record is from RNAcentral. Lineage: Eukaryota; Viridiplantae; Streptophyta; Bryopsida; Funariales; Funariaceae.